GGGAAUAUUGCGCAAUGGAGGAAACUCUGACGCAGUGACGCCGCGUAUAGGAAGAAGGUUUUCGGAUUGUAAACUAUUGUCGUGAGGGAAGAAAUUGACAGUACCUCAGGAGGAAGCUCCGGCUAACUCCGUGCCAGCAGCCGCGGUAAUACGGAGGAUGCGAUCGUUAUCCGGAUUUAUUGGGUUUAAAGGGUGCGUAGGCGGUCCGGAAAGUCAGCGGUAAAAGCCCGGGGCUCAACCCCGGCGAGCCGUUGAAACUGUCGGACUAGAGACGGCGAGAAGUACGCGGAAUGCGCGGUGUAGCGGUGAAAUGCAUAGAUAUCGCGCAGAACUCCGAUUGCGAAGGCAGCGUACCGGCGCCGGCCUGACGCUGAGGCACGAAAGCGUGGGUAUCGAACA
This 399-nucleotide ribosomal RNA is filed under the name uncultured bacterium. Its description in RNAcentral is "bacterial SSU rRNA". It matches the Rfam family "Bacterial small subunit ribosomal RNA", at positions 357 to 774 of the family's 1533-position model. The record is from RNAcentral.